CAAUAGCGUAUAUUAAAGUUGUUGCAGUUAAAACGCUCGUAGUCGGAUUUCGGGGCGGCGCCGCCGGUCUGCCGUUGGGUAUGCACUGGCGGAGGCGUCCUUCCUUCCGGAGACUGUCCCUACUCUUAACUGAGCGGGGUCGGGAGACGGAUCGUUUACUUUGAAAAAUCAGAGUGUUUCAAGCAGGCAGUUCGCUCUUGCAUGGAUUAGCAUGGGAUAAUGAAAUAGGACUUUGGUGCUAUUUUGUUGGUUUCGAACACCGAAGUAAUGAUUAACAGGGACAGUCAGGGGCACUCGUAUUCCGCCGAGAGAGGUGAAAUUCUCAGACCAGCGGAAGACGAACCACUGCGAAAGCAUUUGCCAGGGAUGUUUUCACUGAUCAAGAACGAAAGUUAGGGGAUCGAAGAUGAUUAGAUACCAU
RNAcentral lists this ribosomal RNA (421 nucleotides) under uncultured eukaryote. RNAcentral describes it as "SSU rRNA". It matches the Rfam family "Eukaryotic small subunit ribosomal RNA", at positions 592 to 1018 of the family's 1831-position model. The record is from RNAcentral.